AUGUGCAUCCCGCACGCGGCGUCGGUGGGUCGCGGCUCCCGGAGACCAGCCGGCCCUGCCACGGCGGCGGUAGGGCUGCCUGGUGGGGAGGGGCCGGUGGGGCCGCACGGAGGAGAAGUCCCCCCACCGCAGCCCGGCGCCCCCUUGCCGGCUGCGGGCCCUCUUCCCCGGCAGCGGGGCGCCGGACCUCGGGGACCCUUCGGGCGCUUCCGCCGCGCGCUCGGCUCCUUUCGUGUCCGGGGCGGGGCGGGCGUCUUCCCAGUGCGCGCGCGCGGCGCCGAGUCCCGCGGAGGCCCGCCCCUCCCCCAGGCCCCCGCGCCCGCGCCGCCCCCCCACCCCUACGAGUGUCGGCGGCGGCGGCAGUGGCGGCGGCGGCGGCGGCUGCCGAGAUUGGAAUCCGCCUGCUGGCUCUCGGCGAAGGAGGAGGGAGGAGGGCGGGGAGAAAGGGCAGGAAGGCUCGGGCUCCGGCGCGUCCGUCCGCGCGAGACGAGGAUCGCACGGCCGCUCGAGGGGCGACCGGGCCGGGGCCGCUGCACGCCGAGGGCGGAGGCCGAGUCGGGCCCCCGCCGCGCCCCGGCGGCUCGCCGCGCCCACCCCGCUCCGCGCCGAGGGCUGGACGAUGAGUUCCCCGGGGUCCGGGUGAGUUGGCUCGUCCGAGAGUGCGUGUGUGCGCCGGGAGAGGCCGGCGGCUGCCGGGAGGCCGGCGCGGGCUCCAGGAGAAGUUUCGGGGGGAGCGGGGCGCGCGCGGGAGGCCUGAGCUGGGGGCGGCCCGGUCCGGCCGCCUCGCGGGGUCCCCGCCGCCUCGGCUCUGUCAGGCCGCGGCCCGUUGGGCCCCGCCGUCCGGCGCCCCCGCCCCGGGCCCGACCCCGCCGGAGACCCCGGCCCCCCGGACUCCCGACGUCGGCUCCUUGCAGCUCCCCGCUGCGGCCCCGCCGCCCGGCCCCUCUUUUGUUCCCCACCCCCUGGGUUUCAGGCCGAGUUUGGGGAGGCGAUGUGGGCGAAAGCCGCCUCCAAGGACGCUUCUUGAAUCCUUAA
This 1035-nucleotide long non-coding RNA is filed under the name Felis catus (domestic cat). RNAcentral's name for it is "lncRNA (ENSFCAG00000050451.1)". Lineage: Eukaryota; Metazoa; Chordata; Mammalia; Carnivora; Felidae. The record is from RNAcentral.